This 212-nucleotide long non-coding RNA is filed under the name Prunus persica (peach). RNAcentral describes it as "long non-coding RNA (PPER_LNC000063)". The record is from RNAcentral. Lineage: Eukaryota; Viridiplantae; Streptophyta; Magnoliopsida; Rosales; Rosaceae.
GAUAACAGAGCAUGUCUAAGAACUUCAAUUUCGACGAAACAGAGUGCAAAGGAAAUAACAGGAAGAAAGAGUCCUACGAUGACUCAAGGCUCGGAAUCUCACGAUCCGGCUCUGCUGCAGAACUCAGUCAACUACUGGCUGGGGGGCGCAAAACAGAAAAUUGUGAGUGGACAAACAUAAAUUCAGUUCAGUGUAAACCAACGUAAUAUAAC